Molecule: ribosomal RNA, 253 nt
Filed under: uncultured bacterium
Lineage: Bacteria
Description: partial 16S ribosomal RNA
Rfam family: Bacterial small subunit ribosomal RNA
Source: RNAcentral
UACAGAGGGGGCAAGCGUUGUUCGGAAUUACUGGGCGUAAAGGGCGCGUAGGCGGCCAACUAAGUCCGACGUGAAAUCCCAAGGCUUAACCUUGGAACUGCGUCGGAUACUGGAUGGCUUGAAUUCGGGAGAGGGAUGCAGAAUUCCAGGUGUAGCGGUGAAAUGCGUAGAUAUCUGGAGGAAUACCGGUGGCGAAGGCGGCAUCCUGGACCGACAUUGACGCUGAUGAGCGAAAGCUAGGGGAGCAAACGGG